AGUGAACGCUGGCGGUAGGCCUAACACAUGCAAGUCGAACGGCAGCACAGUAAGAGCUUGCUCUUACGGGUGGCGAGUGGCGGACGGGUGAGGAAUACAUCGGAAUCUACUUUUUCGUGGGGGAUAACGUAGGGAAACUUACGCUAAUACCGCAUACGACCUACGGGUGAAAGCAGGGGAUCUUCGGACCUUGCGCGAUUGAAUGAGCCGAUGUCGGAUUAGCUAGUUGGCGGGGUAAAGGCCCACCAAGGCGACGAUCCGUAGCUGGUCUGAGAGGAUGAUCAGCCACACUGGAACUGAGACACGGUCCAGACUCCUACGGGAGGCAGCAGUGGGGAAUAUUGGACAAUGGGCGCAAGCCUGAUCCAGCCAUACCGCGUGGGUGAAGAAGGCCAUCGGGUUGUAAAGCCCUUUUGUUGGGAAAGAAAAGCAGCAGGUUAAUACCCCGCUGUUCUGACGGUACCCAAAGAAUAAGCACCGGCUAACUUCGUG
This 492-nucleotide ribosomal RNA is filed under the name uncultured bacterium. RNAcentral's name for it is "partial 16S ribosomal RNA". It matches the Rfam family "Bacterial small subunit ribosomal RNA", at positions 29 to 507 of the family's 1533-position model. The record is from RNAcentral.